UACGGAAGGGGCAAGCGUUGUUCGGAAUCAUUGGGCGUAAAGGGCGCGUAGGUGGUUCUGUAUGUCUACCGUGAAAGCGUACGGCUCAACUGUAUUUUGUCGGUAGAAACUGCAGGACUUGAGGCUGGGAGGGGCUGGUGGAAUUCCCGGUGUAGCGGUGAAAUGUGUAGAGAUCGGGAGGAACACCGGUGGCGAAGGCGGGUCUCUGGGCAAUUCCUGACGCUGAGGCGCGAAAGCGUGGGGAGCAAACGGG
RNAcentral lists this ribosomal RNA (253 nucleotides) under uncultured bacterium. Its description in RNAcentral is "partial 16S ribosomal RNA". It matches the Rfam family "Bacterial small subunit ribosomal RNA", at positions 524 to 776 of the family's 1533-position model. The record is from RNAcentral.